UUCAAGUUCAGUCUGUCUGGACAACCGUUGGCAUUUCAAUUUUGUUUUCCGGGGUGGUCAUGGAUGGUAAAUUCAAAGUGCAGCAACAACAAACUCCAGCGCAGCAGCCUGGCAUUAUUCCCGGCCACCCAGUUCAGCCAGACCAAUGGGUUGUGAGCUGUGAGCAUGGAGAAUGGUUGUCCAUACAAAUAGGGCUGCAAUUUCUUCAGGGCCCACACCACAGCCAGGCAUCCCUUCUCAAUGGUGGUGUAGCUUACUUUUCUGGGUAACAGCUAGCGACUGAUGUAAGUCACGGGAUGUUCUACACCAAAAAACGUUUAGUUGGAUUGGGAGCUGCCAAGAUGGGGGUAUUUAUAAGAGCUUGAUUUAACCGCUGGAAUGCCUGCUCAC
This is a non-coding RNA of Pelobates cultripes (western spadefoot toad), 390 nucleotides long. The record is from the annotation of a GenBank genome assembly. NCBI's taxonomy places the organism in Eukaryota, Metazoa, Chordata, Amphibia, Anura, Pelobatidae.